RNAcentral lists this ribosomal RNA (472 nucleotides) under uncultured bacterium. RNAcentral describes it as "bacterial SSU rRNA". It matches the Rfam family "Bacterial small subunit ribosomal RNA", at positions 38 to 507 of the family's 1533-position model. The record is from RNAcentral.
GGCGGCGUGCUUAACACAUGCAAGUCGAACGAAGCACUUCUAUUUGAUUUCUUCGGAAUGAUUAUUUUGUGACUGAGUGGCGGACGGGUGAGUAACGCGUGGGUAACCUGCCUCAUACAGGGGGAUAACAGUUGGAAACGACUGCUAAUACCGCAUAAGCGCACAGGACCGCAUGGUCUGGUGUGAAAAACUCCGGUGGUAUGAGAUGGACCCGCGUCUGAUUAGCUAGUUGGUGGGGUAACGGCCUACCAAGGCGACGAUCAGUAGCCGACCUGAGAGGGUGACCGGCCACAUUGGGACUGAGACACGGCCCAAACUCCUACGGGAGGCAGCAGUGGGGAAUAUUGCACAAUGGGCGAAAGCCUGAUGCAGCGACGCCGCGUGAGCGAAGAAGUAUUUCGGUAUGUAAAGCUCUAUCAGCAGGGAAGAAAAAAUGACGGUACCUGACUAAGAAGCACCGGCUAAAUACGUG